CUUUUAUGGCAGAAAGGAACAACCGUGGAAUUUCGAACUACAGCUGUGUAUCCUGCUCAUCAUAAGCUAGGAAAGCAUAAGCAUACCAUAAGCUAGGAAAGUCAGAGUUCAUGCAAGAGCAGGACUUCUGCCCAGGUGCUGAUAGGAACACUUUUUUUUUGGAACUUCGCAUUUGAAAUAUAGUUCAGUUGCAUAUGUGAACAGAAGUUGCAUAAUACCUAGAGUAAUGUAUAUGAGAGUUAAGUAUUUGGAGACAAGUUUUCAAAACGUUUUCAAAAAUGGAAGAAAUAAAUAUGUGUUUAUAUUCUUUAAUACUAGGGACCUUUUAAGGUGCAGCAGCAUUUGAUCUGAAUUGUCAGCUCAUGGAUACUUAGUAAUUGCAGAUGAGUUUCCUCUCCUGUCCUUUUUGUUCACUGGUACCUUAAACUCCCCUACUUCAGUCAGUCACAAUCAUGAUCUAAUUGUGAUCUCUCUUGCUGUUUCCCUACAGUUGUAAGAAAUUCUCUUGUGUGCUGAAGAGAGAUGCCCCAGUCUGAGGAUGCUCAGCCAUGCUUCUAUCCAGGAGGUACUACUGAAAGAAAGAAGUGGCUCUUUGAACAGCAAGGAAUUCUGGAACAGUGGCUGCAGUCCUGGGGCUGAAGAGCAUGUCUUCAACAAUAGGAGCUGAUGGUUUCACUAUAAAAAAACUGUCAUUAAAAUAACUGCUAAAUGUACAUAUACUGCAU
This 725-nucleotide long non-coding RNA is filed under the name Anser brachyrhynchus (Pink-footed goose). RNAcentral's name for it is "lncRNA (ENSABRG00000010606.1)". The record is from RNAcentral. Lineage: Eukaryota; Metazoa; Chordata; Aves; Anseriformes; Anatidae.